ACCCUCUUAAUAUAACUAAAUAUAACUGACUUCCAAUCAGUAAAUCCUGGAAAACCCCAGGAGAGAGUA
RNAcentral lists this transfer RNA (69 nucleotides) under Orycteropus afer (aardvark). RNAcentral describes it as "transfer RNA-Gly". The record is from RNAcentral. Lineage: Eukaryota; Metazoa; Chordata; Mammalia; Tubulidentata; Orycteropodidae.